Ictalurus punctatus (channel catfish) is the source of this 1611-nucleotide long non-coding RNA. Lineage: Eukaryota; Metazoa; Chordata; Actinopteri; Siluriformes; Ictaluridae. The record is from Ensembl.
AAAAUGACGAAUUUUUUUUUUAAUAGUCAAAAAUAUCACGUGAAUCACGUGGGGAAAAAAUUACGGUCGAGUAAAUGAAAAAUGUGGAAAGAAGAAAAUGAACUCAUUGUGUGGGGGAAAAAAAUUGUGAAAAUAAAUUUUAAAAAAUGUUUACAGAGAUAAUGUAAAAAAUAAAUAAAACAAACAAAAAAAAUCACAUGAUUUUUUAAAAAUCACGUUUGAAAAUAUAUAAAAAAAAAGUGAAAAUGUGGGGGAAAAAAUCAAACAUAACAUUAAAUACAAAUUUGGAAGAAAAAACAUGAAAAAUCAGGUACAAAAUAUCAACAACAAAAAAUAAACCAACAAAAAAACCCAUAGACUACACGUGAAGUGUCUAAAAAGCAUGUGUGUUUAUUAACGUGACGUUCGUGUGACUUGUCUACGGUUUUCCCGCUCGUAUCCUUCCUUCCAGUUUGCUCCCUCUUGUGUCCGUGUCUCUCUCUCCCCCUCUUCAGUUCCUUCUCCCCAGUGAUGGAUCAGCUCUUUCACUCUGUCACCCCCCUUUCAUGCGUCGUCUCAUUCACCACGGGAGGAGUCUGGCCCUUUUCUCUUUCUAAACACCUUCUAUCUAUCAUGCUGGGAGGACUGGGAGCAGUCGCACGUCCCCUCUCGCACUCUCAUGCUCUCUCUCGCGCCUCCCCUCUCCGUGCAAUCACCAGAGAUCAGGAUGAAAUAUGGAGGAGGGUUGCGGGAAGCCUGGAGCCUAUCCCAGGGGACUUGGAGCACAAGGGGGGACGGGGGACACCCUGGACGGGGUAGGUGAAUAUUACUUUAAUUGUAAUUUGUAUACAGUAUACAAGUUUGAAAAGUCUUACAGAUAAUGAGCAUUUCCUAAAAGGGUCUCCUAAAGAUUUCCUAGAGUUUCAGUUCAGAUCACACACUUAUGACAAGGGACCAUGUUAUCCAACUUCUAUCGUGUUACAUAUGUGAACCCAGUUUUCCAUAAACUUUAAAAAGGUCAUCAUACUUGGUAGAGAAAGUAUUCAAUGUGAAUAUACUCAGCUUAUACCGACAAUAACGGAUCUUUGUAGAUGCUGUGUACAUUUCUGCUGAAAACCUGAAAUAUUUAAGAGAGGAGUGAGAAUUAGUUGGGGAAGGUACUAUGCUGAGGGCCUAGGGCCUUAUGGCAAUGUCUUAAGGCUAGCAUCGCAUGUCUCAGACAUCCUCAUUCACCUGACUGACAGCCUGUGCUAACUUUCCUCACUGCCCCCGAUUUUCUCCAGCGCAACGAGAGCCUCGUUAAGUCACCGCUGUUUUUCGCUCGUCUGUCGCUCUGGGAAUUCGGCUAUCCGGGCUUCCUGUAGGCUUCCUAUUGCACUCUCUUGCCUAAAAAUACAGGAGUUCAACUGGAGUUCAUGUUAAAGUUACUCUUUAAAAUCUAGGGUUUACAUUCACUUGCAGUUUCUUUUUGAAUGGUAGUAGGUUAUUAAGAUUCCAUGCGUGCCUUGAAGCGGAUAUCAAUUAUAAGAAAACCUCUGGCUUCUUCUUCUUCUUCUUCUGGGCUUGAGUACGGUUAGAUAAACUGUCGAUAUGUAGGAUUUUCAUUUAGCGGUUAAUUCGUCAGUGAGAGCG